UACGGAGGGAGCUAGCGUUGUUCGGAAUUACUGGGCGUAAAGCGCACGUAGGCGGCUUUGUAAGUUAGAGGUGAAAGCCCGGGGCUCAACCCCGGAAUUGCCUUUAAGACUGCAUCGCUUGAAUCCAGGAGAGGUGAGUGGAAUUCCGAGUGUAGAGGUGAAAUUCGUAGAUAUUCGGAAGAACACCAGUGGCGAAGGCGGCUCACUGGACUGGUAUUGACGCUGAGGUGGCGAAAGCGUGGGGAGCAAACAGG
This 254-nucleotide ribosomal RNA is filed under the name uncultured bacterium. RNAcentral's name for it is "partial 16S ribosomal RNA". It matches the Rfam family "Bacterial small subunit ribosomal RNA", at positions 524 to 776 of the family's 1533-position model. The record is from RNAcentral.